Molecule: long non-coding RNA, 248 nt
Filed under: Sinocyclocheilus anshuiensis
Lineage: Eukaryota; Metazoa; Chordata; Actinopteri; Cypriniformes; Cyprinidae
Description: lncRNA (ENSSANG00000012727.1)
Source: RNAcentral
CUUGUCUGAAACUAUUUUGGUUGGCGAAGCAUCAGUAGACAACUAACUGAAAAUGUUUCGUCUAAAAUCAAAUGUGAGGACAGAUGAGCAGCAGCGAGAAGCUCUAGGGGUUGACGGUGACAUCGGCAGUGUUCAGGUAAUACAAGCACCGAACAAACAUGUAUUCCAUGAUCUGCCGAACACAGCAACAGAAAGUGUCACUUUUAGAACCCCACCAUUCGACGACAAAGGAAAUUGUCAGGUAUGUA